Molecule: RNA transcript, 1477 nt
Organism: Salvia splendens (bonfire salvia)
Lineage: Eukaryota; Viridiplantae; Streptophyta; Magnoliopsida; Lamiales; Lamiaceae
Exons: 3
Source: RefSeq, a predicted model, not a curated record
CGUCCACUGUCUCUCUUCCUUCUCUUCUUUCUCUUUAAUCUAAUUUCUCCCCCAAAUUGAUUUCAAAUCCCUAACUCCUCCAUCUCUCUCCCUCCUCUCGUCUACAUUGCAGGCAGCCGCCCCUGCCGCGCCUGACGGAGGCGUGCCACCAUCUCCGGCGAAUCGAGACCUACGUUCAUCUAUCUCUCGCCGUCUUCUCUUCGGAACCGAGAGGCAGGGCUAAAUCUUGCAGAGGCGGCGGCGCUUCUCUUCCUCUCGCGGCGGAGUCACCGGUGGGAAGAAGGCGUCGCCUUUUCCACUCCAUGGCGUCGCUCCUCGAUGGAACCGCCGCCACCAUUAACCGCACGCUUCACCUCCAUCACUACAUGGCGUCUCAGCGCCGUCGAGCUGCCGUCGCCGUCGUUCACUCCCGGCGUUUGCGCACCAUUACCGAAGUCCAACAAGGCUCGUCGUCCUCUGGCGAGGUCUCUGCCUCAGUUGCUGUUCGACGAAGCUCGAGGCGCCGCCCUCUCACCUUCGCUGUUCAGACUAAAGUUAAGCUAUCUCUAACCCAACUCAAUCUCCUUCGUCAUUUGCAAAUUUUUAAUUGUUAUUCCUUAGAUUAUUUGUGAUGUUGAGCAUGUGGCAGUAGCAUUUUGUUCCUCAUUUUCCAUCAUGUAAUAUAACUCCAAAUUUCUUCAUGCUUGGUGUCUUUUUCUUUUCUAUUGAUUUACUUGAGAUUUAGCAUGCUAAAUGAGGUUUCUAUGUGGCGGUGUCUCUAUGUGAUGUUGUGAUUCAUGCUUGAGUUUGAGGAAAAGAAAGGGAUAUGGAGGUUACCUUUUUUUUCACCAUUUUGUAUCUUGCUCCUAGACUUGUCUCUCUCGCACUCUCUACGCAUUAUCUUGCUAAUUGGUAUAUGGUGGUGAAAGAGGGUGAGACCAAGGGGUUAUCUCCAUAUAUAGAGGGUGUGUAACUGAAAGCUGCUGUUUAGUGCAGGAAAAAGGGUCCCCACUUUGAUUGUAUGUCGGCUGAUCCUCCUGCAGCAAGGCAGGGCAUGUACUCAUAAAAAUAAAUGGACUGAGCUCUGUAAGGUGGUUAACUGAAUCUCUGCAGUUGAAGCUCUGUAGAGCAGCUGUAGUUGUGCCCCUUUUCUUGGCUCAUAGCGGCUGGACAUGGGCUGGAGAUGUGCAGGAGUUGCACUACUGCAGGUUGUCCCAAUUGAGGUCAUGGCUAACUACCGAGAGCGGGUUCCCUGGAUGUCUCGGCUCAUCGGGCUGUCGGCACAAUCGGACCGAAAUCCAAGCUAAGAAGGAAGGGUCGAAGCUAAUAGUUUCAUUUGUAAAGAGAUAGGGUUCUUACUCGUAAUUUUCUCCUUUUCUUUAACAUGUAAACAAGUCUUUGUAAUAUUUCAUGUGUAUUUCUUUUCCUUUGUUUUUCUUUGUCAAUAUCUGUAAUUUAAGACUUAUCUCGAUACUAAAUGUUGAGUUUUUUUUGUUUA